CAAUAGCGUAUAUUAAAGUUGUUGCAGUUAAAAAGCUCGUAGUUGGAUUUCUGGUAGGAGUGACCGUUCCGAACUUGAUUGUUCGUGUAUUGUGUUUUCUCCAGCCAUCCUUGUGGAGAACUUUUCUUGCAUUAAUUUGUAGGGAUUGGGACCCGCAUCGUUUACUGUGAAAAAAUUAGAGUGUUUAAAGCAGGCAAUCGCUUGAAUACAUUAGCAUGGAAUAAUGGAAUAGGACUUUUGUCCAUUUGGUUGGUUAUUGGACAUGAGUAAUGAUUAACAGGGACAGUUGGGGGCAUUAGUACUUAAUUGUCGGAGGUGAAAUUCUUGGAUUUAUUAAAGACUAACUUAUGCGAAAGCAUUUGCCAAGGAUGUUUUCAUUAA
RNAcentral lists this ribosomal RNA (381 nucleotides) under uncultured eukaryote. RNAcentral's name for it is "partial 18S ribosomal RNA". It matches the Rfam family "Eukaryotic small subunit ribosomal RNA", at positions 592 to 976 of the family's 1831-position model. The record is from RNAcentral.